Molecule: unclassified non-coding RNA, 336 nt
Filed under: soil metagenome
Description: partial contains 5.8S ribosomal RNA, internal transcribed spacer 2, and large subunit ribosomal RNA
Rfam family: 5.8S ribosomal RNA (bases 1-120)
Source: RNAcentral
GAUGAAGAACGUAGUGAAAUGCGAUAAGUAAUGUGAAUUGCAGAAUUCAGUGAAUCAUCGAAUCUUUGAACGCACAUUGCGCCCGCCAGUAUUCUGGCGGGCAUGCCUGUUCGAGCGUCAUUUCAACCAUCAAGCCCCAGGCUUGUGUUGGGGACCUGCGGCUGCCGCAGGCCCUGAAAACCAGUGGCGGGCUCGCUGUCACACCGGGCGUAGUAGAUUUUAUCUCGCUCAGGGCGUGCUGCGGGUUCCGGCCGUUAAAAAGCCUUUUUUACCCAAGGUUGACCUCGGAUCAGGUAGGAAGACCCGCUGAACUUAAGCAUAUCAAUAAGCGGGGGA